GCCUCAGUGGUGUAGUGGUAGAGCACGCGUCCUCGUAUAGGAUGAAACGUGGGUUCGAUUCCCGCCUGAGGCC
Non-coding RNA from Parelaphostrongylus tenuis, 73 nucleotides. The record is from the annotation of a GenBank genome assembly. Lineage: Eukaryota; Metazoa; Nematoda; Chromadorea; Rhabditida; Metastrongylidae.